UACAGAGGGGGCAAGCGUUAUUCGGAAUUAUUGGGCGUAAAGGGCGCGUAGGCGGCCUGGCAAGUGGAUGGUGAAAUCCCUCGGCUUAACCGAGGAACUGCCAUCCAGACUGCUUGGCUUGAGACCGGGAGAGGUGAGUGGAAUUCCCAGUGUAGCGGUGAAAUGCGUAGAUAUUGGGAGGAACACCAGUGGCGAAGGCGGCUCACUGGACCGGUACCGACGCUGAGGCGCGAAAGCGUGGGGAGCGAACAGG
This 253-nucleotide ribosomal RNA is filed under the name uncultured bacterium. RNAcentral describes it as "partial 16S ribosomal RNA". It matches the Rfam family "Bacterial small subunit ribosomal RNA", at positions 524 to 776 of the family's 1533-position model. The record is from RNAcentral.